RNAcentral lists this ribosomal RNA (468 nucleotides) under uncultured bacterium. RNAcentral describes it as "partial 16S ribosomal RNA". It matches the Rfam family "Bacterial small subunit ribosomal RNA", at positions 28 to 507 of the family's 1533-position model. The record is from RNAcentral.
GACGAACGCUGGCGGCGUGCUUAACACAUGCAAGUCGAACGGCAAGGCCCUGCUUUUGUGGGGUGCUCGAGUGGCGAACGGGUGAGUAACACGUGAGUAACCUGCCCUUGACUUUGGGAUAACUUCAGGAAACUGGGGCUAAUACCGGAUAGGAGCUCCUGCUGCAUGGUGGGGGUUGGAAAGUUUCGGCGGUUGGGGAUGGACUCGCGGCUUAUCAGCUUGUUGGUGGGGUAGUGGCUUACCAAGGCUUUGACGGGUCGCCGGCCUGAGAGGGUGACCGGCCACAUUGGGACUGAGAUACGGCCCAGACUCCUACGGGAGGCAGCAGUGGGGAAUAUUGCACAAUGGGCGGAAGCCGGAUGCAGCAACGCCGCGUGCGGGAUGACGGCCUUCGGGUUGUAAACCGCUUUCGCCUGUGACGAAGCGUGAGUGACGGUAAUGGGUAAAGAAGCACCGGCUAACUACGUG